RNAcentral lists this ribosomal RNA (452 nucleotides) under uncultured Bacteroidota bacterium. Its description in RNAcentral is "bacterial SSU rRNA". It matches the Rfam family "Bacterial small subunit ribosomal RNA", at positions 451 to 904 of the family's 1533-position model. Lineage: Bacteria; Pseudomonadati; Bacteroidota. The record is from RNAcentral.
GUGAGUCUCGUGAGACUUUUUGCAUGUACCUUAUGAAUAAGGACCGGCUAAUUCCGUGCCAGCAGCCGCGGUAAUACGGAAGGUCCGGGCGUUAUCCGGAUUUAUUGGGUUUAAAGGGAGCGUAGGCCGGAGAUUAAGCGUGUUGUGAAAUGUAGACGCUCAACGUCUGCACUGCAGCGCGAACUGGUUUCCUUGAGUACGCACAAAGUGGGCGGAAUUCGUGGUGUAGCGGUGAAAUGCUUAGAUAUCACGAAGAACUCCGAUUGCGAAGGCAGCUCACUGGAGCGCAACUGACGCUGAAGCUCGAAAGUGCGGGUAUCGAACAGGAUUAGAUACCCUGGUAGUCCGCACGGUAAACGAUGGAUGCCCGCUGUUGGUCUGAAUAGGUCAGCGGCCAAGCGAAAGCAUUAAGCAUCCCACCUGGGGAGUACGCCGGCAACGGUGCAACUCAA